AGGGAGAAGAGUUCCUAUGACCAUAAGCUGCUGAAGGGAGAUCCAUAGACAAACAAAAGAUUUCAGAGAUGCCAGAAAACUCUUCUAGAACAGAGCACUGAGACAGUGGACAUGAUCUCUGCUUCCCAGACUAUGACAGAGCAGCCACAUGGUUCUCAUCUCCUGUGAUACUCAGACAUUCUCCUGCAGUGCUACUUCCACCCCCUCCCUCCCCCUGGCAAAUGCAUGUCAAACCAUUGUUUGGGGCAAUCAGACAGGACAGUAGGGCAAGGAUGGGGAAAUACCUACUGCAGAUAUAGCAAGCAAUACACCAGGACCCACCACAUGGGGUUGUGAGGAGCAGAGACCAUCUUCCCAGCUGCGUUCCAGGUGCUUUACAUGAACUCCCAUAAGGGCAGGGACAGAGCCAGACUUUAAGCCCUCAGAAUCUGGCCCUUCAGUCGCACCGUGUAAUAUCACUUUAA
This is a long non-coding RNA of Alligator mississippiensis (American alligator), 464 nucleotides long. RefSeq lists it as uncharacterized. NCBI's taxonomy places the organism in Eukaryota, Metazoa, Chordata, Crocodylia, Alligatoridae. The transcript is spliced from 3 exons. The record is from RefSeq and is a predicted model, not a curated record.